RNAcentral lists this ribosomal RNA (234 nucleotides) under uncultured bacterium. RNAcentral's name for it is "partial 16S ribosomal RNA". It matches the Rfam family "Bacterial small subunit ribosomal RNA", at positions 524 to 756 of the family's 1533-position model. The record is from RNAcentral.
UACGUAGGGUGCGAGCGUUUAAUCGGAAUUACUGGGCGUAAAGCGUGCGCAGGCGGUUUUGUAAGCCAGAUGUGAAAUCCCCGGGCUUAACCUGGGAAUGGCAUUUGGGACUGCAAGGCUUGAGUGCGGCAGAGGAGACUGGAAUUCCUGGUGUAGCAGUGAAAUGCGUAGAUAUCAGGAGGAACACCGAUGGCGAAGGCAGGUCUCUGGGCUGACACUGACGCUCAUGCACGA